Molecule: ribosomal RNA, 249 nt
Filed under: Klebsiella pneumoniae
Lineage: Bacteria; Pseudomonadati; Pseudomonadota; Gammaproteobacteria; Enterobacterales; Enterobacteriaceae
Also listed under: 13 other names
Description: partial 16S ribosomal RNA
Rfam family: Bacterial small subunit ribosomal RNA
Source: RNAcentral
GUCGUAGUCCGGAUUGGAGUCUGCAACUCGACUCCAUGAAGUCGGAAUCGCUAGUAAUCGUAGAUCAGAAUGCUACGGUGAAUACGUUCCCGGGCCUUGUACACACCGCCCGUCACACCAUGGGAGUGGGUUGCAAAAGAAGUAGGUAGCUUAACCUUCGGGAGGGCGCUUACCACUUUGUGAUUCAUGACUGGGGUGAAGUCGUAACAAGGUAACCGUAGGGGAACCUGCGGUUGGAUCACCUCCUUA